CGAUGAUGGGAGCUUGCUCCUGGAUUAGUGGCGAACGGGUGAGUAACACGUGAGUAACCUGCCCUUAACUCUGGGAUAAGCCUGGGAAACUGGGUCUAAUACCGGAUAUGACUCCUCAUCGCAUGGUGGGGGGUGGAAAGCUUUUUGUGGUUUUGGAUGGACUCGCGGCCUAUCAGCUUGUUGGUGAGGUAAUGGCUUACCAAGGCGACGACGGGUAGCCGGCCUGAGAGGGUGACCGGCCACACUGGGACUGAGACACGGCCCAGACUCCUACGGGAGGCAGCAGUGGGGAAUAUUGCACAAUGGGCGCAAGCCUGAUGCAGCGACGCCGCGUGAGGGAUGACGGCCUUCGGGUUGUAAACCUCUUUCAGUAGGGAAGAAGCGAAAGUGACGGUACCUGCAGAAGAAGCGCCGGCUAACUACGUGCCAGCAGCCGCGGUAAUACGUAGGGCGCAAGCGUUAUCCGGAAUUAUUGGGCGUAAAGAGCUCGUAGGCGGUUUGUCGCGUCUGCCGUGAAAGUCCGGGGCUCAACUCCGGAUCUGCGGUGGGUACGGGCAGACUAGAGUGAUGUAGGGGAGACUGGAAUUCCUGGUGUAGCGGUGAAAUGCGCAGAUAUCAGGAGGAACACCGAUGGCGAAGGCAGGUCUCUGGGCAUUAACUGACGCUGAGGAGCGAAAGCAUGGGGAGCGAACAGGAUUAGAUACCCCUGGUAGUCCAUGCCGUAAACGUUGGGCACUAGGUGUGGGGGACAUUCCACGUUUUCCGCGCCGUAGCUAACGCAUUAAGUGCCCCGCCUGGGGAGUACGGCCGCAAGGCUAAAACUCAAAGGAAUUGACGGGGGCCCGCACAAGCGGCGGAGCAUGCGGAUUAAUUCGAUGCAACGCGAAGAACCUUACCAAGGCUUGACAUGAACCGGUAAUACCUGGAGACAGGUGCCCCGCUUGCGGUCGGUUUACAGGUGGUGCAUGGUUGUCGUCAGCUCGUGUCGUGAGAUGUUGGGUUAAGUCCCGCAACGAGCGCAACCCUCGUUCUAUGUUGCCAGCACGUGAUGGUGGGGACUCAUAGGAGACUGCCGGGGUCAACUCGGAGGAAGGUGGGGACGACGUCAAAUCAUCAUGCCCCUUAUGUCUUGGGCUUCACGCAUGCUACAAUGGCCGGUACAAAGGGUUGCGAUACUGUGAGGUGGAGCUAAUCCCAAAAAGCCGGUCUCAGUUCGGAUUGGGGUCUGCAACUCGACCCCAUGAAGUCGGAGUCGCUAGUAAUCGCAGAUCAGCAACGCUGCGGUGAAUACGUUCCCGGGCCUUGUACACACCGCCCGUCAAGUCACGAAAGUUGGUAACACCCGAAGCCGGUGGCCUAACCCCUUG
Molecule: ribosomal RNA, 1367 nt
Filed under: Arthrobacter sp.
Lineage: Bacteria; Bacillati; Actinomycetota; Actinomycetes; Micrococcales; Micrococcaceae
Description: bacterial SSU rRNA
Rfam family: Bacterial small subunit ribosomal RNA
Source: RNAcentral